This 116-nucleotide ribosomal RNA is filed under the name uncultured bacterium. RNAcentral describes it as "partial 16S ribosomal RNA". It matches the Rfam family "Bacterial small subunit ribosomal RNA", at positions 1360 to 1482 of the family's 1533-position model. The record is from RNAcentral.
CGGUGAAUACGUUCCCGGGCCUUGUACACACCGCCCGUCAAGCCAUGGGAGUUGGGGGUACCUAAAAGUCCAUCACCGCAAGGAGUGGCCUAGGGUAAAAACCGAUGACUGGGGCU